CCUACGGGAGGCAGCAGUGGGGAAUUUUGGACAAUGGGGGCAACCCUGAUCCAGCAAUGCCGCGUGAGUGAAGAAGGCCUUCGGGUUGUAAAGCUCUUUUGUCAGGGAAGAAACAGCAGCUCUAACACAGACUGCGAAUGACGGUACCUGAAGAAUAAGCACCGGCUAACUACGUGCCAGCAGCCGCGGUAAUACGUAGGGUGCGAGCGUUAAUCGGAAUUACUGGGCGUAAAGCGUGCGCAGGCGGUUAUACAAGACAGGCGUGAAAUCCCCGGGCUUAACCUGGGAAUGGCGUCUGUGACUGUAUAGCUAGAGUGUGUCAGAGGGGGGUGGAAUUCCACGUGUAGCAGUGAAAUGCGUAGAGAUGUGGAGGAAUACCAAUGGCGAAGGCAGCCCCCUGGGAUAACACUGACGCUCAUGCACGAAAGCGUGGGGAGCAAACAGGAUUAGAUACCCUGGUAGUCCGCGCCCUAAACGAUGUCAACUAGUUGUUGGUAGAGUAAAAUCUAUGAGUAACGUAGCUAACGCGUGAAGUUGACCGCCUGGGGAGUACGGUCGCAAGAUUAAAACUCAAAUGAAUUGACGG
This 586-nucleotide ribosomal RNA is filed under the name uncultured bacterium. RNAcentral describes it as "bacterial SSU rRNA". It matches the Rfam family "Bacterial small subunit ribosomal RNA", at positions 338 to 916 of the family's 1533-position model. The record is from RNAcentral.